GAAUUACGAGCCCAAGCUUAAAACCCAAAGGACUUGACGGUGUCCCAUCCCCCUAGAGGAGCCUGUUCUAUAAUCGAUUCUCCCCGAUCCACCUCACCGCCCCUUGAACACCCAGUCUGUAUACCUCCGUCGCAAGCUUACCAUGUGAACGCUUAAUUAGUGAGCUCAAAAAUCUAACACUCACACGUCAGGUCAAGGUGCAGCCCACGGGCCGGAAAGAAAUGGGCUACAAUCUCUAUCAUAGAACAAACGGAAACCUGCGUGCAAUACAGUAAUCAAGGCGGAUUUAGAAGUAAAAAGAAACUAGAGAGUUCUUUUUAAUUGGGCGCUGGGACGCGUACACACCGCCCGUCACCCUCUUCAAAUUUAUAUGCAUGUUACUAACAUCAAAAACCUUAACAGAAGAGGCAAGUCGUAACACGGUAAGCGUACUGGAAAGUGCACUUGGAAUAACAAAAUGUAACUUAACAAAAGUACCCUGCUUACACCAAGAAUAUAUUCGUGAAACCCGAAUCAUUUUGAGCCUAAAACCUAGCCCUACCUGCCCUUAAUAAAAAUAUUAUACCAAACAAUUGUAAUAAAACAUUUUCUCAGCCAAGUAAAGGCGAUUAAAAAGCACCUAGGAGCUCCAACACUAGUACCGCAAGGG
RNAcentral lists this ribosomal RNA (649 nucleotides) under Sphenophryne cornuta. RNAcentral describes it as "partial 12S ribosomal RNA". The stretch from base 1 to 460 matches the Rfam family "Bacterial small subunit ribosomal RNA", at positions 877 to 1533 of the family's 1533-position model. Lineage: Eukaryota; Metazoa; Chordata; Amphibia; Anura; Microhylidae. The record is from RNAcentral.